UCCAAAGUUUAUAUAAGUACAAAUCAAAAUUUAAACUAUAUUAACCUAUUACAUAACUUUUAAAGUCUAUUUGACUAUUAAAUACAACAAUCCAAACAUGUACAAUUCAAGGAGGAAAUGCAGGAAUAUUUUUCAUUUCAUUUUCACCUCAAGGCUACACCAAGUCAAGUUCAUAUAUGUACCUGGAAUUACAAUGAAACAAAGGAUAAGGAAGAGGUCAGCAGUAUAGCAACAAGAAUCAGCAGUUGAAAUCCAACAGCAACACAAUAAUCAGAUCAAUUAGAAACCCAAAUUGAUAUCAUUGCAACCUAGGACAUGGUUUCAGGCCAAUAAUACCAAUAACAGAUCAGAACAGCCUUAAUUGAACUCCAAACAAACUCGAAAUGAAUCCAAUAAACUUAUGAAGGUUUAGCACCUCAAACACAUAUCUUUCAGGUCAUUUUCAUCUUAUUUAGAUAGAAAUUCAAAUUGAUAGCUGAGAACUGGAACUAAUCUGAGGAAAAUACUCUAAUGAAACAGUAUUUUUUGAGAUUUUUGUGAAGAUUUUAGGAUUGAAAAGGACUCUCUCACCCUAAAUUUUGGCUUUGGCUUUUUUAAUUUAAAUUUUCCAGAGAUUUUCCAAGGGCUAAACUAGUGGGAAUUUUUUAGUUUUUUGGAUUUUUCUGAAGAUUUAGGAUCUAAAAGAACUUCCUUACUCUAAUUUUAGCUUUGACUUUUUGAAUUUAAAAUUCAAAAUUUCAGAAAUUUUCAGGGUUCUAAACUUCUUUUUAAUUUUCAGGAUCCCAAAACUUGUGAAAGAAGGCAAUGCCAUGCCUUUUUAUAGGCAAAAACUUAGGGCAACACUUUCUUAUUUUGUUUUACCUUUAGUCCCUCUCUGUUUUUCAGACUUUACUCAACUAGUCCCUCAUUUUCUAAAUUUUCCAUCAAGUCUUAACACCAAAUUACUAAAAUUCUAUUUUGAACCUCCAUCUAGAAGGUUCCAGGGGUUUACUGCAGGAUUCCUAUUAUCCAAAAACCUAUGCUACCCUUUUAUUUAUUCUAAAUUACCAACCAAAUUAAACCAACCCCCCAACCUUAUUACCUUAGUCAAAAUAUAACCAUAGUUAACCAAUUGAAGCCUAGAUACUCAACUAUAUCUAAAACAAUUGAACUAGAGACCCUAACCACUGAACUAAUCCACCAAAGCUGGAAAUAGAAUUUAAUUAAUACUAAUAUCCUAGGGUUAACCUAAAUUGGACUGAUGACCUAUAGAAAAACAAAUAGGUUUGAAGUUAACAAUCAAAUUAAUUUCAUAUAACAAAGCAACAAUCAUGGAUUGAGAACAAACAUGAGUUGAAUCAACAAAAGAAUGAAAUCCUUAGCAUGCAAGUCAAACCAAAACAAAAUAGAGCUAGCAGAACAGAAAUCAGCUAAAACUGUGAGUUCCUAAAUUAAUUGACAUGAAGAAGAAUUAAUUUAAUGAUAGGAAACCCUGUUGAUUUAGAACGGACAAUCUCAGAACCCAAACUAAAGCCCAGAACCCUAAUAACAAAAUUAAAUGGCCAAAUUUGUGCUAUCUAUUAGUAGAACUCAAAGCCUACUAAGUGAACAAAUAAUAAAAGGGAAGAACGACCUUAAUUACUGAACCUAACGAAUUGGUAGGUAAAAAAAUUAAAAUAAAAACCAAAUCAAUUAACUCGUGAAACAGAAGAAGUCAUUAGAAAGGAAUUAACAUAAAAAACAACAAAACAAAAAAAAGACAAGGGAACUCACUGAUGUGUUUUAAAAUGUUGUCGUUUCUUUGAUUUGAGAUUCGAGCGUUUCCGGCGGGAUUCGAAGACUACUGGUGGGGAGUUUGGCACGAGGGAAGCGAGGAGGUUGCAUGGUGUCGAUUUUAGUGAACUCUGGAGGAUUGAGGUUUUGUCCAGAAUUUCAAUUGGAUAUUCGAGGGAAUUGUCUAAGGUUUGAAGAAAACUAAGGCUGGAUCUGUUAUGGGGAUGAGAUGGGGAGCAUAAGGUGUUAUUUUGAAGUGCUUUGGCGGUGGCGCUGCCAUAGGUGGCGGAGCAUCCACUACUUUAAUUGAAGAUUCGAGAAGAUGGGUUGUUGUUCGAAGAGAACCAGUCACGAAUUCAGAAAGGGGAGAAGAAGGAGAUUCAGGGGUGUAUUUUUUUGGUUGAUUGGAGCAUCGCCGCCGCCGCCGCCGGCGGACGACGGAGGGACGGUGGCUUUAAGGUUUCAGUGUUUGGACAAGGUAC
RNAcentral lists this long non-coding RNA (2234 nucleotides) under Nicotiana benthamiana. Its description in RNAcentral is "long non-coding RNA (NBEN_LNC028137)". Lineage: Eukaryota; Viridiplantae; Streptophyta; Magnoliopsida; Solanales; Solanaceae. The record is from RNAcentral.